This 1513-nucleotide ribosomal RNA is filed under the name metagenome. RNAcentral's name for it is "bacterial SSU rRNA". It matches the Rfam family "Bacterial small subunit ribosomal RNA". The record is from RNAcentral.
AGAGUUUGAUUCUGGCUCAGAACGAACGCUGGCGGCGUGCCUAACACAUGCAAGUUGGACGAGAAAGUGGGCUUCGGCCCGUUAGUAAAGUGGCAGAUGGGUGAGUAAUAUGUGGGUAACCUGUCCGGAGGUGGGGGAUAACCCUCCGAAAGGAGGGUUAAUACCGCAUAACAUCCGAGAGGCUUCGGCCUCGUAGAUCAAAGCUGGCCUCUACUUGUAAGCUAGCGCCACCGGAGGGGCCCGCGCCCUAUUAGUUUGUUGGUGAGGUAAUGGCUCACCAAGGUUAUGAUGGGUAGCCGGCCUGAGAGGGUGAUUGGCUAUAUUGGAAUUGAGAUAUGGUCCAGACUCCUACGGGAGGCAGCAGUGAGGAAUUUUGCGCAAUGGGGGAAACCCUGACGCAGCGACGCCGCGUGGAGGACGAAGGCCUUCGGGUCGUAAACUCCUGUCAAGUGGGACGAAUGCCGUCGGGAUGAAUAAGCCCGGCAGUUGACGGUACCACUGAAGGAAGCCCCGGCCAACUCCGUGUUAGUAGCCGCGGUAAUACGGAGGGGGCUAGCGUUGUUCGGAAUUAUUGGGCGUAAAGGGCGCGUAGGCGGCCUGGUAAGUCGGGCGUGAAAUCCCGCGGCUCAACCGCGGAACUGCGCUCGAAACUGCUGGGCUUGAGUCCCGAGAGGGUGGCGGAAUUCCCAGUGUAGCGGUGAAAUGCGUAGAUAUUGGGAGGAACACCAGUGGCGAAGGCGGUCACCUGGACGGGUACUGACGCUGAGGCGCGAAAGCGUGGGGAGCAAACAGGAUUAGAUAUUUUGGUAGUUUAUGCUGUAAACGAUGGGCACUUGGUGGUGCGGGUAUCGACCCCUGCAGUGUCGAAGCUAACGCAUUAAGUGCCCCGCCUGGGGAGCACGGUCGCAAGGCUGAAACUCAAAGGAAUUGACGGGGGCCCGCACAAGCGGUGGAGCAUGUGGUUUAAUUCGACGCAACGCGAAGAACCUUACCUGGGUUUGAAUUGCGGCGGACAGCUCCAGAGAUGGAGUUUCCUUUCGGGUCGUCGUGAAGGUGCUGCAUGGCUGUCGUCAGCUCGUGUCGUGAGAUGUUGGGUUAAGUCCCGUAAUGAGUGCAACCCCUACUCCUAGUUGCCAGCGGUUCGGCCGGGAACUCUAGGGGGACUGCCGGUGAUAAACCGGAGGAAGGUGGGGAUGACGUCAAGUCAUCAUGGCCUUUAUGUCCAGGGCUACACACGUGCUACAAUGGGCGAUACAAAGGGCUGCGAUGCCGCGAGGUGGAGCCAAUCCCAAAAAGUCGCCCUCAGUUCGGAUUGCAGUCUGCAACUCGACUGCAUGAAGGUGGAAUCGCUAGUAAUCGCGGAUCAGCAUGCCGCGGUGAAUACGUUCCCGGGCCUUGUACACACCGCCCGUCACAUCACGAAAGUUGGUUGCUCUUGAAGUCGCCGAGCGAACCGCAAGGAAGCAGGUGCCGACGGAGUGGCUGGCGAUUGGGGUGAAGUCGUAACAAGGUA